RNAcentral lists this long non-coding RNA (1412 nucleotides) under Macaca mulatta (Rhesus monkey). RNAcentral's name for it is "lncRNA (ENSMMUG00000042802.2)". Lineage: Eukaryota; Metazoa; Chordata; Mammalia; Primates; Cercopithecidae. The record is from RNAcentral.
CAUUUUUCAAAAUACAGAGAUCCAACAGCAGCUGUCCAUGGCCUAAAAAUGUUUGGAAAUUGCUGCUCUAAUACAAAUGACUUAUUUUAUGGUAGAAGCCAAAAAGGCAGAAUAGUGAAAUUACUUGCAUCUAUCUCUCCUGUUGAAAAUGAGAUUUAAUGGAUCUGUGAAGUAACUUAAAAUAUUUCCUGGAAAAUACAUUUAAUAAGAAGAGAAUGAAAUUGACUACCUGUACCUUCCCGCUGACUUCUGCCUGGUUAUGUGCUUCUUUCCUCUGACUCCUGCUUUAUUUUCCAGAAAAGAGCUAGUCCAAUGAAAUAGCAGUAGAGAGAGUUUCUCUUUUAUAGGUCCUUUAGGUAUAUACUUAGGGGUAAAUUUGCCAUAACCAGAUAUGGACCACCAUAAAAGCAUAUAUGAUUUCUAGUAAUCUAUGCUGAUUCUUUACUGUUAUCAUCAUGGCAACGGAACCCCAUGAUACAACAAUGACAUUACAGUAAGGAGAAAGACUGCAUAAGGAGGACCAAUCAGCUCACUUGAAAGCACAUGCAGGGUUUUUGGCAACAGGGACAUGAAUGUUGCUGAAAAUAUAGGCUAUGAUUCAUACACAUAUGAGACUCGAAGGGAAAAAUCUGACUCAGAAAAACUCAGGAAAGCUAAUAAGAAAGAACAAGACAGGAAGUCUGACCUACAUCUGAGAAACGUGAACCAUGGCUUUCAGCAGUGGAAGGAAUUUUUGUAUGAAUCAUGCCAGGGAACAGAUUCCUCACCACCCGAACUGCACGACUGCAUGAUGGUACACCUUCUUUUGUCUAGGCAUGUUUUUCUCUGGGAAAUUUAGGCAAAGAGAAACAGAUUUUACAUAUUUUUUUUCUUCCUUUUCAAUAACGACUACAUUUUCUGGUUACCAUUAUUUUAGCUCUGCCCUACAGUUAACAUGAGAUUAAACUGUCAAGAAGAAGGUCACUUUAACAUUUUCCUAGAUGGCACAAAAGACCUGAAAAAAAAAUCUGCCCAUUCUUUCUUCUCUUUGGUGAGUCACUGUACGACUCUUAAGGGAGAGUGUUGGUCUUUGAAGUCAGAGAGAACCAGAUUCUAGUCUUACUGCUUAGAAGUCAUGUGGCCUUGAGCAAAUUGUAUAACCUUUGGUGUCUAGGGCUCUCAUCUGUAGACAAAAAAUAGUAAUAUUUGUGUCUGAGUGUUGAGCUGAGGAGGGCCUGACACAGAGUAAUUAAAUAAUUCUCAGCUUCCCUUGAGCCCAAAUAUUUGCAUAUUAUAAAAGCUCCACAGGUGGUUCUGUUUUUCACCCAAGAUAAAGAACCUGUAUAUUGGAUGUAAGUAUUCAUAACAUUAACUCCUUUUUGCUUUACUUCCAUUUAGGCUAAAAAGAAUCUAAUUUAUAUUUCACACUAAAG